UAGAUAAUAUUGUUUUCCUUUUUCUCUGAGGCUUCUCAGCUUCCCAGGAGAGAAAUCCUGGGCAAAGGGAUUUUUCCAGAAAAUAUGACUGCCACACUGGUGGCAUGUCACCAUCACAGGGAUUCUCCCUGUUUCCCAGUCAGAAAAUGGCUCAUAUGAAAACAACCCAGCGAUGGCAUGAACAAAAGGAAUGAUCAAAACUCUCUAAUUUUGUCUGAGAGCUCUGGAGCCCUCUGGGAAGCAUCACAAAACCCCCAGCACAGAACAGCCACGGACAGCACAGGCACGGAGCAGGGUUGAGCAAGAGCCUUGACCAGAGCAACCAUUACUGAUUUCAAAACAUCCCAGGGCUGCGUGGCCACAACAAUCCAGGGCAAAACUGGAGCAGUCCGAGCGGAGCAGAGCAGGGCAGGCUUGCUGCUCACACGCUGCCGGAGAUGCCUUCAUGCAGAUAUGCAGCAGCUGCAGGGCUUCGUGCAGGGACUUGCCCUUGUGUUGAGCUGGAGUGUGGGCACGGGCUCCCAGAGGGGAAGGAAUGCUGGCUGCAAGGAGCAGGGAGCUUCUGCAUCUGCAGUGAGAAUUCCUGCUGGAUUGGAGCUCCUGAGGGAGAGCUGCCCAGCUCUGGUGCAGCAGCUUGGGCUGGGGAUUGGCUGGAGCUGGCUAUUUCUUUCUAUCUUCAGAAAUGGAAAAUGAGGUGGUUUGUGAGCUCCUGGUGCUGCUGGGUGAGAGCUGUCCUGAGGAUGAGGAUGCUGUGUUUUGCCAGAGCACAAAUUAAGCUGUUGCUUUAACACUUGGCCUUUUUUGAAAUCUCCACUUUCCAGCCAGCCACAGCAGCUCAGAGCUUCAUGGGCCUUUUCCAAACAGCCUGUGCAUCAUAGCAGAGAAAAAUAAACUCAUAUUCACUGUGUGCUGAUCCCUCACAUGCACUGGGAAGAGGCUGAGGAGUCACCAAAGUGGAGCGUGCUGAGAGCUGGCCUCUGUUAGCAGCUGGUCAGAAACAGCAAACCCAGCAAAUCCCUGCCCUUGGAGGGCACAGACACUGCCCAGAGUGGCCAUUUUUUACACCAAAAUGUUGGAUUUUGAUGGUGCAGCAAAACUGCCAAGAAGGAGAUUACGCCACACAAGACACCCAAAGUGUGACAGUUUUUUAAUGUGAUCUUUUCACAUGAUCUCUUUGCCUUGAUCUUCUAAAGCAGAAAUCAGCUGCCUGAGGAACCUGGGCUGCCUCAGAGGUUGAGAUCCAUCCACAGUGCUGGGUUUCUGCUCCUCAUGAAGAAUGGGAAAACCUCCUUGCACUGGAGAAUAACAGGUCCUUUCAUUCUGCCACUGGUGCUGCUGGUUUAACACCCCACCCAAGGAAGGAUAUCACCUGCGGGAAAAAGUGAGCAGGGUUUGAUCCCCAAAAAGUGUUCCAGAAAAGCCUCUGGUGCUCUGGUUCUUGUGGGCCCAUCAUGAUUGGCUUGAACAUUCACAGGAAAUAAUCAGGGCUCACCAGACAGGAUAACAGGACUUUCCUGCUUUUUUGGGAAUGGGAGAAGCUGGACAGGGAGGGAGAGGAACACCCUGCAUCCAGGUGAGGUGAGCUGACAUCAUCUGGAUGCAGUGAGGAAUAGACAGGGGUGUUCAGAGCAUCCCUUGGGCCAAGGCAAUAGGAAAUACUACAUUUUAAAAAAUCUGAUUGCUUGAAUGGUUCAUUUUUCCAUAUUCCUUUUGGCUGCUGAGGGUGGAAUUCCUGUGCUGCCCAGCUCUGCCAGCUCCCAGCAAGGUGCAGCAAUCCUUGCCUGUCUGCAGGUAUCCUAAGGACAAGGCAACCUGAACAGCCUGCAAACUGUGAGCUUUUAGCUAAUUUUUGUUCUCCAAAAAAAAAAAAAAAGUCUGAAUGUUCAAAGUUCUGCAACUGACAUUUCCUCUGUAAUUUUAUCACUUCUUCUUUAGCCAAAAGCUAAUCUUGACCAUGAAAUCUGCUUCUUGUGUAUGAUCUCCUGCCUGUCUGGAGACAGAGCUGUGAUCCUGGAGGCCUUCAGGGACUGGAGAACAUUUCUGGACACCUCCUUAGCGUUGGAUUUUUGUAGGAGGAGGAGGAAGAGAUUUAAAGCUGCCUUACUGUGUUGCCUGGUGGUGUCUGGACUGUGGCUCCUAAAUCCCAGGGAACCCAGAAAUGCAGAUGCCUGAAAUGCUGCCUGAAUCCCCAUUUGAACUGAAGCACCCUGAGUCAUCUUGCCUCUGUUUUGUGGGUUUUUAAUGGAAGAAAAAUCACCUGGACAUCCCAAAUCUGUAUCCCUCUGCAACCCCACCUGCAUGAAAUCACCUGAAAGGGGCUUCAAACCAGGAUGAAUUCUUUCACCUCAGAGUGUCUCCUCUGUGCCUCUGCAGCACUAGUGCCACAGGAAUUUUCACAGAUAAUUUUACAUGGAAAAAUAAAUCUGUUUAAAAAACCACUUGGCCCCUGCAUGUGUUCGCUAGAGUAACCAAAACCAAGUCCUUGAGAGAGCUUUCCCCCCAUUCGUGAUGCAGUUCAGAUUUUGUCCAGCUGAGUCUGAUGGAGAGCUCCAGGAAAAAAUGGCUAUUUAGAGGGAUUAGGAGUUUUCAAGAAACUGGACCAUGGAAGUAAGAAAGUAACUGAAUAUUUACUUAAAUUGCCUACACGGAAAAUCCUCAGCUUCAACUCACAUGACCCAGUGUCCUGACAUCAAGGUUAGUUUACUUAUUUCAUCACGCCUGAGGAGUGAAAGGUAACUAGAAAUAAGGGAACUGACUGCUGCUUUGGGAUUCCUUCCCUCCUGCCCAGGGACUGUCUGCAUCUCUGCUUUAUACUGUGCCCAAAAUCACCUUGGAAGGCGUUUAGAUGAUUUUCCUCUCAUGGCUGUGUGUGUAUCUAUGGAUGUACAUGGAGAAUGAGUGUUUUAAAAAAGACAUUUUACACACUUGAUUGAUACCCUGACUGCAGGGUUUGAGGGCUGCAUGACCCCUCAAAACCAGGGGUGGAAAGGACCCUUUGUAGCUGGUGCCCAUCUCUGUCCACAGAGGAACCUUCCCCAGCCAUCAGCAUUGUGCCCCAGCAGUUGUUUGCAUGGAACA
Molecule: long non-coding RNA, 3078 nt
Organism: Passer montanus (Eurasian tree sparrow)
Lineage: Eukaryota; Metazoa; Chordata; Aves; Passeriformes; Passeridae
Exons: 3
Source: RefSeq, a predicted model, not a curated record